Dreissena polymorpha is the source of this 327-nucleotide long non-coding RNA. RefSeq lists it as uncharacterized. The transcript is spliced from 2 exons. NCBI's taxonomy places the organism in Eukaryota, Metazoa, Mollusca, Bivalvia, Myida, Dreissenidae. The record is from RefSeq and is a predicted model, not a curated record.
UUAACGAGUAUACAUAAGCUAAAUUAACAUAUUGGAUUACCUAUGUUAUUUUACGAGUCAUAUUCAUUCAUAUAUCAUCAUUAUAGGAAAUCCGCGAAACAGUGCAUGUGAGGCCCAGUCAGAUAAGCCUGUAAGAAAAAAAAGAUGUAGUGUUCCACUUCAUUGUUCCCUACCUGUAGAGUUGUUGGAGAAAACCCUGUAUUGUUAUGUUACAAAUAUAACUAAAUAAAGGAGUAGAAUUUAUGUUCACUUUGUUAUAAUAUAAAGGAAGCAUGUAAUCAUCGUACGCAUUGCAUAAAUGAAUACAUGUGUAUUGUAAAAAGUGUG